This 423-nucleotide ribosomal RNA is filed under the name uncultured bacterium. RNAcentral describes it as "bacterial SSU rRNA". It matches the Rfam family "Bacterial small subunit ribosomal RNA", at positions 28 to 431 of the family's 1533-position model. The record is from RNAcentral.
GAUGAACGCUAGCGGCGUGCCUAACACAUGCAAGUCGAACGGGGUACCCGAAACGGAGACUUCGGUUGAAGUUUUGGACUACCUAGUGGCGGACGGGUGAGUAACGCGUGGGUAACCUGCCUUAUACAGGGGGGAUAACACUUAGAAAUAGGUGCUAAUACCGCAUAAGCGCACAGUUUCGCAUGAAACAGUGUGAAAAACUCCGGUGGUAUAAGAUGGACCCGCGUCUGAUUAGAUAGUUGGUGGGGCAACGGCCUACCAAGUCGACGAUCAGUAGCCGGUCUGAGAGGAUGAACGGCCACAUUGGGACUGAGAUACGGCCCAGACUCCUACGGGAGGCAGCAGUGGGGAAUAUUGGGGCAAUGGGGGAAACCCUGACCCAGCAACGCCGCGUGAAGGAAGAAGGCCUUCGGGUUGUAAACG